RNAcentral lists this ribosomal RNA (626 nucleotides) under uncultured bacterium. RNAcentral's name for it is "bacterial SSU rRNA". It matches the Rfam family "Bacterial small subunit ribosomal RNA", at positions 34 to 692 of the family's 1533-position model. The record is from RNAcentral.
CGCUGGCGGCGUGCCUAACACAUGCAAGUCGAACGAGAAAGUGGAGCAAUCCAUGAGUAAAGUGGCGACCGGGUGAGUAACACGUGACUAACCUACCCUCGAGUGGGGAAUAACUCCGGGAAACCGGGGCUAAUACCGCAUAACAUCGCAAGAUCAAAGCAGCAAUGCGCUUGAGGAGGGGGUCGCGGCUGAUUAGCUAGUUGGCGGGGUAACGGCCCACCAAGGCGAAGAUCGGUAUCCGGCCUGAGAGGGCGCACGGACACACUGGAACUGAAACACGGUCCAGACUCCUACGGGAGGCAGCAGUGGGGAAUUUUGCGCAAUGGGGGAAACCCUGACGCAGCAACGCCGCGUGGAGGAUGAAGCCCUUUGGGGCGUAAACUCCUUUCGACUCGGACGAUAAUGACGGUACGAGUGGAAGAAGCACCGGCUAACUCUGUGCCAGCAGCCGCGGUAAUACAGAGGGUGCGAGCGUUGUUCGGAAUUAUUGGGCGUAAAGGGCGCGUAGGCGGUGCGGUAAGUCACCUGUGAAAUCUCCUGNCUUAACUGGGAGCCUGCAGGCGAAACUACCGUGCUGGAGUGUGGGAGAGGUGCGUGGAAUUCCCGGUGUACCGGUGAAAUGCGUA